Molecule: long non-coding RNA, 211 nt
Organism: Ananas comosus (pineapple)
Lineage: Eukaryota; Viridiplantae; Streptophyta; Magnoliopsida; Poales; Bromeliaceae
Exons: 4
Source: RefSeq, a predicted model, not a curated record
UUGUACUCUUAGAAACAGAUUUGGAAGCUACUCUAACCCAGGCGAGAGUGCGAUCGAGCCGUGGAUCGUCGUUAGUUGACUUGUGAGAGCUCGUGGAGACUUAUCUUGAGCAGGAUUGCAGCCGUGUCGAGCUGAUUAGUGGGAUUUCUUGUGACUUUGGAGCCUUGUACCAGAGCCUGUUACAGGAGAGGCUAGGGAUCGUGGCAAGGGA